UUGAUUAUAUAAAUGGCUAUUCCAAUUUAGUUAUAUUAUUCACUAUACAAUAAAUUUGACUUGCUGACAUUUAUAUAAUUAUUUUCUGGUUAUUUAACUCACAAGUACUAUCUUCCUCCUAACACAUUUAUUGCUGAAAUACUGUUUUGAUUCGCUUCUCAUAUAUUCAGUCCUAUCACUUUGUGCAAAUGUUCUCUCUUCUCAUCUCUUUCCCCUAUUUGUAUUCAGUAGGCUAUAAGUUACUGUUGGCUUUUGAAAGGUUCUAUUUGUCCACCCUAAAUUGUCACUCAACAUUAAUUAAAAGAAUAAAAUGAAACAAUUUAGAAAGGAAUGGGUGAGGUGAUGAUGACCAACUAAUUUUAACACGAAGAUGCCAUAAAAAGAAUUUUAAACAAAAAUCUUAAAACGACAUUGAAACCAAAAAAAUGAGUGUGCUAUAUAUUGUGAACAACAUAAAAGGCCACAUAAUCUUUGGAAGCAGAUCACUUUCAUUUCUAGCUUCUAUGAGUUGAAACCUCCUUCGAAUUCCUGUUCUCUGUGUCUCUAUUAUUAUCAAAUAGUGCUCCCCUACACUGAGGAAGCUCUUUCCUUUCUGAGUACUGAGAGCUGGUGAGCAUAUUCUUCACUAUACUCUAGGUCUUCAUUUUAGUGGGAAUGGUAGGUUUGCUGAUUGGUUCUAGUGAACAGGUGUAACGUGUCUAAGUCAAUGGACGACGCGACGCUUUUCGGAAGGUAACACCUUAAUGGGAGCUCAACAUUAAUGAUCUAAAAAUAUGUUUCAUCCUCUGGCCUUCAAAAUAGUUUCACUUUUGACUUGUCUAGUUUGACCAAAGCCUUGUUAUUUUUCCAGUUCCCAUUGUGAAAAUAAUAACAAUAAUUUAUUCAACACAUUAUUUAUUGAGCAUCUUUUAUAGGUGCCAGGGAUACAUCAAUGAAAAAAGCAGACAAAAGUCCCUGGUCUUAAGGAUCUUACAUUCUAGAGAAAAAGGGACAAUGUACAAUAGGUAAUUAUUUUCCAUAAAGUAUAACGAUGCGAUGAUAACAAAUAUUUAUUGAGCAACUU
Molecule: long non-coding RNA, 1063 nt
Filed under: Homo sapiens (human)
Lineage: Eukaryota; Metazoa; Chordata; Mammalia; Primates; Hominidae
Description: HSALNT0133425
Source: RNAcentral